UACAGAGGUCUCAAGCGUUGUUCGGAUUCAUUGGGCGUAAAGGGCGCGUAGGCUGCGGGGCAAGUCGGGUGUGAAAUCUCAGAGCUCAACUCUGAAACUGCACUCGAUACUGCUUUACUUGAGGACUGGAGAGGAGAUUGGAAUUCACGGUGUAGCAGUGAAAUGCGCAGAUAUCAGGAGGAACACCGGUGGCGAAGGCGGGUCUCUGGGCCGAUACUGACGCUGAGGCACGAAAGCUAGGGUAGCAAACGGG
RNAcentral lists this ribosomal RNA (253 nucleotides) under uncultured bacterium. RNAcentral's name for it is "partial 16S ribosomal RNA". It matches the Rfam family "Bacterial small subunit ribosomal RNA", at positions 524 to 776 of the family's 1533-position model. The record is from RNAcentral.